This is a long non-coding RNA of Zea mays, 308 nucleotides long. RefSeq lists it as uncharacterized. The record is from RefSeq and is a predicted model, not a curated record. The transcript is spliced from 2 exons. Lineage: Eukaryota; Viridiplantae; Streptophyta; Magnoliopsida; Poales; Poaceae.
UUUUUAUGCAGCUAAAUGGUGGUUGAACCAUGGAAAUAGUUCUCCAAAUCUUAGAAAGCUAGCAAUAAAAAUUUUAGGCUUAACAUGUAGCUCAUCAGCAUGUGAAAGGAAUUGGAGUGAUUUUGAAAAGGUUGACUCAAAGAUAAGGAGCAUACUUCUCCAUGAUAGGAUGAGGGACCUUGUGUUCGUCAAAUUUAACUCAAAGUUGAAGCAAAAAAAAGAGAACAAAUCAAGAGACCCAAUUGAGAAGCAGGUUCCUGAUAUCCUAGAAGAUAGUGGCAAUGAGUGGAUCACUAGAGUUGCAUCAA